Molecule: ribosomal RNA, 713 nt
Filed under: uncultured bacterium
Lineage: Bacteria
Description: bacterial SSU rRNA
Rfam family: Bacterial small subunit ribosomal RNA
Source: RNAcentral
AGAGUUUGAUCNGGCUCAGAUUGAACGCUGGCGGCAGGCUUAACACAUGCAAGUCGAGCGGUUUGGUUAGCUUGCUAACCAGAUAGCGGCGAACGGGUGAGGAAUGCUUGGGAAUCUGCCUAGUAGUGGGGGAUAACGUUUCGAAAGGAACGCUAAUACCGCAUACGCCCUACGGGGGAAAGGGGGGGACCUUCGGACCUCUCGCUAUUAGAUGAGCCCAAGUCGGAUUAGCUAGUUGGUGAGGUAAAGGCUCACCAAGGCGACGAUCCGUAGCUGGUCUGAGAGGAUGAUCAGCCACACUGGAACUGAGACACGGUCCAGACUCCUACGGGAGGCAGCAGUGGGGAAUAUUGGACAAUGGGCGAAAGCCUGAUCCAGCCAUGCCGCGUGUGUGAAGAAGGCCUUCGGGUUGUAAAGCACUUUAAGCGAGGAGGAAUGGCUCUGGGUUAAUACCCUUGAGCAGUGACGUUACUCGCAGAAUAAGCACCGGCUAACUCUGUGCCAGCAGCCGCGGUAAUACAGAGGGUGCAAGCGUUAAUCGGAAUUACUGGGCGUAAAGCGCGCGUAGGCGGUUACGUAAGUUGGAUGUGAAAUCCCCGGGCUCAACCUGGGAAUUGCAUUCAAAACUGCGUGGCUAGAGUGUGGGAGAGGAANGUAGAAUUCCAGGUGUAGCGGUGAAAUGCGUAGAUAUCUGGAGGAAUACCGAUGGCGAA